UACGUAGGGGGCUAGCGUUGUCCGGAAUCAUUGGGCGUAAAGCGCGUGUAGGCGGUCCGGUAAGUCCGCUGUGAAAGUCGGGGGCUCAACCCUCGAAUGCCGGUGGAUACUGUCGGGCUAGAGUGCGGAAGAGGCGAGUGGAAUUCCGGGUGUAGCGGUGAAAUGCGCAGAUAUCGGGAGGAACACCAGUAGCGAAGGCGGCUCGCUGGGCCGUUCCUGACGCUGAGACGCGAAAGCUAGGGGAGCGAACAGG
This 253-nucleotide ribosomal RNA is filed under the name uncultured bacterium. Its description in RNAcentral is "partial 16S ribosomal RNA". It matches the Rfam family "Bacterial small subunit ribosomal RNA", at positions 524 to 776 of the family's 1533-position model. The record is from RNAcentral.